CAGCAGCCACGGUAAUGCGUAGGGGGCAAGCGUUAUCCGGAAUUACUGGGUGUGAAGGGAGCGUAGACGGUUAAACAAGUCUGAAGUGAAAUGCCGGGGCUCAACCCCGGAGCUGCUUUGGGAACUGUAGAACUGGAGUGUCGGAGGGGUAAGCGGAAUUCCCAGUGUAGCGGUGAAAUGCGUAGAUAUUGGGAGGAACACCGGUGGCGAAGGCGGCUUACUGGACGACAACUGACGUUGAGGCUCGAAGGCGUGGGUAGCAAACAGGAUUAGAUACCCCGGUAGUCCCUGUCUCUUAUAA
Molecule: ribosomal RNA, 301 nt
Filed under: uncultured bacterium
Lineage: Bacteria
Description: partial 16S ribosomal RNA
Rfam family: Bacterial small subunit ribosomal RNA
Source: RNAcentral